Molecule: transfer RNA, 88 nt
Filed under: Bacillus phage vB_BthM-Goe5
Lineage: Duplodnaviria; Heunggongvirae; Uroviricota; Caudoviricetes; Herelleviridae
Description: tRNA-Ser
Rfam family: tRNA
About the family: Transfer RNA (tRNA) molecules are approximately 80 nucleotides in length. Their secondary structure includes four short double-helical elements and three loops (D, anti-codon, and T loops).
Source: RNAcentral
GGAGGGGUACUCAAGCGGUGAAGAGGUUAGUUUGCUAAACUAAUAGGUCGAGUAAUCGGCGCGAGGGUUCGAAUCCCUCCCCCUCCAC